UACGUAGGGGGCUAGCGUUGCUCGGAAUCACUGGGCGUAAAGCGCACGUAGGCGGAUUGUUAAGUCAGGGGUGAAAUCCUGGAGCUCAACUCCAGAACUGCCUUUGAUACUGGCGAUCUUGAGUCCGGGAGAGGUGAGUGGAACUGCGAGUGUAGAGGUGAAAUUCGUAGAUAUUCGCAAGAACACCAGUGGCGAAGGCGGCUCACUGGCCCGAUACUGACGCUGAGGCGCGAAAGCGUGGGGAGCAAACAGG
This 253-nucleotide ribosomal RNA is filed under the name uncultured bacterium. Its description in RNAcentral is "partial 16S ribosomal RNA". It matches the Rfam family "Bacterial small subunit ribosomal RNA", at positions 524 to 776 of the family's 1533-position model. The record is from RNAcentral.